AGGACGAACGCUGGCGGCGUGCCUCAUACAUGCAAGUGGAGCGACGAACCAGGAUUUAUCCUGGGGCAAAGCCGCGAACGGGUGAGUAACACGUGGGUUACCUGCCCCGAUGAUUGGGACAACCCGAGGAAACUCGGGCUAAUACCAAAUGUGUUCUUGGUCGUGAUGACCAAGAAGAAAGGAAGCCUCGGCCUCCGCAUCGGGAUGGGCCCGCGGCCCAUUAGCUAGUUGGUGGGGUAAUGGCCUACCAAGGCGACGAUGGGUAGCUGGUCUGAGAGGACGAUCAGCCACACUGGGACUGAGACACGGCCCAGACUCCUACGGGAGGCAGCAGUGGGGAAUAUUGGACAAUGGGGGAAACCCCGAUCCAGCAAUGCCGCGUGAGUGAAGAAGGCCUUAGGGUUGUAAAGCUCUUUCAGUAGGGACGAUGAUGACGGUACCUACAGAAGAACGCCCCGGCUAACUCCGUGCCAGCAGCCGC
This 481-nucleotide ribosomal RNA is filed under the name uncultured bacterium. RNAcentral's name for it is "SSU rRNA". It matches the Rfam family "Bacterial small subunit ribosomal RNA", at positions 26 to 518 of the family's 1533-position model. The record is from RNAcentral.